RNAcentral lists this ribosomal RNA (504 nucleotides) under uncultured eukaryote. RNAcentral's name for it is "partial 18S ribosomal RNA". It matches the Rfam family "Eukaryotic small subunit ribosomal RNA", at positions 639 to 1123 of the family's 1831-position model. The record is from RNAcentral.
AGUGGGGGGGCUAAGGUAGCAGUAGUUUUCAUCAUAGUCCAUCAGGAUACUCUCUUGAUGUGUACUGGGUGUUAACCUCCUUUUUUUCUGGUACUUGCUAUCCAGCAAUGGGUAGUUUUGUCCAGAUAGUUUACUUUGAAAAAAUUAGAGUGUUCAAAGCAGGCAUAAUUGGCAUCAUGAAUACAUUAGCAUGGGAUAAUAGAAUAUGACAUUGGUCUUAUUUUGUUGGUUUCUAAGGCCAAAGUAAUGAUUGAUAGGGAUAGUUGGGGCCGCUCGUAUUGAGUUGUCAGAGGUGAAAUUCUAGGAUUUACUCAAGACGAACUAAUGCGAAAGCAUUCGGCAAGGAUGUUUUCAUUAAUCAAGAACGAAAGUUGGGGGAUCGAAGAUGAUCAGAUACCGUCGUAGUCUCAACCAUAAACUAUGUCAACCGAGGAUCCGGUAGCGUUACAUGGAUGACUUCCGGCACUCUGUGAGAAAUCAUAAGUAUUUGGAUUUCGGGGGGAG